This 253-nucleotide ribosomal RNA is filed under the name uncultured bacterium. RNAcentral describes it as "partial 16S ribosomal RNA". It matches the Rfam family "Bacterial small subunit ribosomal RNA", at positions 524 to 776 of the family's 1533-position model. The record is from RNAcentral.
UACGAAGGGUGCAAACGUUGCUCGGAAUUAUUGGGCGUAAAGCGCACGUAGGCGGCUUUGCAAGUCGGAUGUGAAAUCCCUCGACUCAACCAAGGAAGUGCAUCCGAAACUGCAGAGCUUGAGUACCAAAGAGGAUCGCGGAAUUCCCGGUGUAGAGGUGAAAUUCGUAGAUAUCGGGAGGAACACCAGUGGCGAAGGCGGCGAUCUGGGUGGAUACUGACGCUGAGGUGCGAAAGCGUGGGGAGCAAACAGG